Molecule: long non-coding RNA, 2130 nt
Organism: Belonocnema kinseyi
Lineage: Eukaryota; Metazoa; Arthropoda; Insecta; Hymenoptera; Cynipidae
Exons: 3
Source: RefSeq, a predicted model, not a curated record
ACCAUUGUAAGGAAAAAUAAUUUUAUGGAAAUCAAAUUAUUUAUUUCCAUUAUUUUAUGUGCAAUCUUCACUUAUUGUAUUGCUUCAUAUGUGACGCAUAAUGAAAAUAAGAAGUACUUGAAUAGAUUGGUCCAAUUUUCACCCACUGAGAAAACAUGGAAAAAUAGCUGCUGCAAUCUGUAAAGAAUGCAAGAAAAUUAUUGGACCAGUCACUGAUAAAAAAUUGUAAGGUCACAGAACUGCCUGUCGAAGGACACGAAGAGAAGAUGAAGAAUUUGAACAUGUGAACGAAAACAAUGAUCAAAAUAUGAAUCAAGAAAACAUUGAAAGUUUCGUGGAUGUUUUAGAUGUCCAAAAACUGCUCAAUAAAAAAGUCGGGAAGUUUUUUUAUUCAUGUAACAUCCCAUUUAAUACCGCAGAAAGCCCUUACUUCCGAGAUACUAUUUGUUCCAUAGGUUUAUUAGCAAUAAAAUACGAAUUUGUUUAUACUUUAAAGGUAGACUUUAUGUGGGAGGUGACCUUAUAGAUAUAGUUCAUGAAUGUGUAGAAAAUGAAAAAAAACUAUUACUUCAAGGUACAUUUUGUGUUCUACUAGUAGACGCGUGGAAGAAUAAAAUUGUGAAUAAAAAGUUCUUAGUUUUUGUGCUUGUAAAUAUCCAUAAACAGUUCAUUUUUCUAAAAUGUUACGAUACAUCGUUAUAACCUGAAGAUGGUGAAACUUUAGCAGCGAAUAUUAAUAAAGCCGUUCGAAUCGCUAAAAAAAAAGUAUAAUGUAACUGUUUUUCUUAUCAUUACUGACGACGAUUCAAAAAUUGUUUGCGGAGGGAGACUAGCAAAAAACACCGAUGGAAACAGUCUUAUACAGUCAACAUAUACUAGCUACAGUGGAAAUUUAUUAAUAAGGACUUUAGUAACUUCAUCGGAAAUUACAACUGAACUUCAAGAAGUUGUACGUACUUCUCGUGAUACGAAACUAAAUACAUUAUUUUAAAAAUUUGGCUGUAAAUCUUUGCAAAAUUAUCCUGAUACGCGCUUUUGUGAUUUUCCAAAUAGGUGUAAAAGUGUACUUGACAACUUACCUUAUCUUAAAACUAUUUGUCAAAUAGAAGAUGUUCCUUUUCCCGAAAAUAUCCACGAAAAAAUUUUCGAUGAAGAUUUUGAAUAUCGACUAAGAGAGAUUGUUGCAAUCCUUGACCUUAUUUGUUAGUUGAUAAAUAAAUGUCAAAGCCCGAAAUACAAUAUUGCUGACAGCACUGAACAUUGGCUGUCGUUACGACUACUCGGUAAUAUACAUAUAGAUGAAAUUGACAAAAGAAUAUAAAAAGCAGUUUAUCCAGUUGGAUCUUGUGCUAAUUUACUUCAUCAUAAAUACAAGGGUGAAAAGUUGAGUGUGGAACAAACGGAGGUUGCAAUUAAAUUUUUCACAACUCAUGCUUCACCAGAAUGUUUGCAAGAGUACAACACAUUUUCGUCAACUCGUGGCGAAUAUAAAAAAAUUGAAGAAAAUUGUACAACCCCCAUCAGAUUUUGGGCAAUGUUAGAUAAUCAUUUACCAAGGCUAUCAGAUUUCGCAAUUAAAUUGAUGUACGUACCUGCGUCAACCGCACAACUUGGAGGUUUUUUCCCCCAGUGGACUUAUGUGCAUAACACCUAUCAAAAUCGAUUGUCUGAUACUAAAUCUGGUAUGUUGGUCGAAAUAUAUCUUUCUUUGAAGUUUAUGGAGAUCGAAGAUGAAAUAUUGUAACAUAUAAUAUAGCUGAGUAAAUAAGACACUUUUGCAAAAAAUUUAUAGACUAAAUUUAUUGGACGUAGCAUAAUGUUCAUUAAAAUUAAAUACAAAAUAAGUUAAAGAUAUCUCUCAGAAAGUUGUUCGAAUGUGUAACUCUUUGAUAUAAUUAAAGUUAUGGGACUUGCAUGUUGGUGGCCUUAGUGAGAAAGUUUGCAGUGACAGGUGUGAGAAUUUUCUACGGAGUUUGUGUGGAAGGUGUGAGUGGAGUGUGAGGGUGGAAGCCUACGAGGUGAGUACGACUUUAAGGGGUACAUUGGGAAGAUAAUUAAUUUACAUUGUAGCUGGGGGGUGAAAUUUGGCUAAGUAGGGAAAGUGCGGUUAGGUUUGCAAGGGAGCGGGGU